UGUGUCGGUACCCAGGAGCGUGUCCAGGUUCUGGGUUCCCAUCAGACGAGAAGGAGGCAUUUCCAGUUCAAGGCGGUAUGACAGGUUCCUCAAAGUGCACACACAGUUUUCCACAAUCUGAAGAGAAGUGACAUACAACAGAUGGCAUGCUGGUACUACAUUUUGUGGAAAAAAACACAGUUCCACAUUCGGCCACUAGGGGCGCCCGAGAUGCUUUUGGACCUUCUAGGAGUGGCACAGAAAACAUCUGACAUCAACAAAGCUAUUCUGUGGGACAUCUCUCACCUUGCUGUCAUAAUCGGAGGUGUUUACACAAGUUUUAAUAAUAUAGAGGAGAGAAUCGAUCAGCCCUUCACAGCAGCGCAUCUGCCUUCUUG
Non-coding RNA from Misgurnus anguillicaudatus (oriental weatherfish), 377 nucleotides. NCBI's taxonomy places the organism in Eukaryota, Metazoa, Chordata, Actinopteri, Cypriniformes, Cobitidae. The record is from RefSeq and is a predicted model, not a curated record.